Molecule: long non-coding RNA, 1681 nt
Organism: Callithrix jacchus (white-tufted-ear marmoset)
Lineage: Eukaryota; Metazoa; Chordata; Mammalia; Primates; Cebidae
Source: Ensembl
GUGUGGUUUUGUGUGUGCAUGUGUGUGUUGUAUGUGGUGUGUUGUGUGUAAGUGUGUAUGUCACACAUAUAUUAAAAUCUUAGCCUGGUGCUGUUUGUGAUUACCCAGCCCCAGUACUUCAUGGAAGCAGCCCACAUGGACGAAGGGGCCCUUCCAGUGCUGCAGUCUUGAGCUAAGAGUUCACGUAUUCCGAGACAAUGUGCUUGGGACGUGGGACUUCUUCCCCCGCACUCCUCCUGUCCUCCGCCUCCUCUGUGAGCUGCGGUCUCCCCGCACGCCUGACGCAGGGCUGGUUUUGCUCUGCACCUGCACAGACCGGAGAUGCCCUUGGCGACGUCGUCUGCUCCUCCGGUGCUUCCAAACGCGGCUGCCUGGGUCAGCUGCGUGCCUGUCUCUGUAGAUUUGGAGGGGUCUCCCCCUGGGCUGGCUUUGCACAAGAACAAACAAGAGCUGUCCAAACUGCCAAGACAUCGACUUUCCUUUUCUUGAGAGGAAGCUCAAAUUCAAGGUGCAGAAUAAACUUAUUUCCAGCAGGUGGUCCUAAAUGGGAACUCUUGCACGGAUCUCAGAAAAUGACAGUCCCUAAAAUAAGUCCAUUUGUUUAUCCAAAAUCACCUUUGAGGCACAGCUUGACUAUGACCUCGGCCUUCGACUGAGCACGGUGAGUGAGGGCCUUCUGAAUAAGAAGGGCACCGCCACACCCUGCAAGGCCGACGAGCAAGUCAGUUCCUUUAGCACAGAAUCUCUGUUGCUGGUGGCUUCCCAAAAACGUCAGAGGACUUUGGAGUUGGAGAGGAACCAGGAGGGCUUCUAGUUCACAUUGCUCACUUCUCAGACGCAGAGCUCAGCUCACCGAGGCCAGGGCGGCAUCACCAUCAGAACUCUGCCCCUUUGACCCCAGACAGGUGGUCCUAAGUUUAUUACAAGCUCCGUUUAUUACAGCUUCUGGGAACCAGUCAUCUGAAGCAGAAGGUAAUGUUUCCUGCUCUGGUGAAAUGAAGAAGAGUUGAAGAAACUGUGUGCAGAAAUGUUGAAGCGUAGCUCCAUUCAGCUCUGUCUUAAAUAGAGCUUGGCAGCAGCAGUCAGGCCUUGAGCGGCGUUAGGGGCUGAAUUGCAUCCACCCCAAACUCACAUGUUAAAGUCCUAACCUCAGUACCUCCGAAUGUGACUCUGUUUGGAGGUAGACUCUUUGAAGAAGUGAAUAAAUGAGAGUCACUAGUGUGAGUCCUAAUUCAAUCCGACUGCGUCCUUAUCGAAAGAGGAGAUGAGGACACAGACACGCACAGAGGGUCGGCCACGUGAGGACACGGAGAAGAUACCAUCUGCAAGCCGAGGAGAAAGGCCUCCUGGGGCACCAACCCUGCCAAUGCCCUGAUCUCAAACUUCCAGCCUCCACAACUGUUAGAAAAUAAAUGUCUGUCAUUUUAAGCCAGCCGGUCUGUGGUAUCUUGUUAUGGAAGCCCUAAUGAAUUAAUACAAGGAACAAGGCAGUCAGAAGUGGCAUUUGACUUCAAUUAGAAGUCGUACAAAUACUGCAGGCUCCAAGCCCAGGGUCCAGGGUGGAGGCUGCGUGCACUUGGGAAGUGCUAACUAAAUGCCUGGUCACUGCGGUUCGGUCCACACAUGGGGCGGUGGCUGCAGAGACCGCUGUUGUUCUUAGCAACACCCUCACGUGCCUAAG